Molecule: unclassified non-coding RNA, 142 nt
Organism: Pongo abelii (Sumatran orangutan)
Lineage: Eukaryota; Metazoa; Chordata; Mammalia; Primates; Hominidae
Rfam family: Metazoan signal recognition particle RNA
About the family: The signal recognition particle (SRP) is a universally conserved ribonucleoprotein. It is involved in the co-translational targeting of proteins to membranes. The eukaryotic SRP consists of a 300-nucleotide 7S RNA and six proteins: SRPs 72, 68, 54, 19, 14, and 9.
Source: Ensembl
GCUGGGCGUGGUGGUGUGCGCCUGUAAUCCCAGCUACUCUGGAGGCUGAAGCAGGAGAAUCGCUUGAACCUGGGAGGCCAAAGUUGCAGUGAGCUGUGCCACUGCACUCUAGCCUGGGUAACAUAGUGAGACUUCGUCUCAA